AUUGAACGCUGGCGGCAUGCCUUACACAUGCAAGUCGAACGGUAACAGGUCUUCGGAUGCUGACGAGUGGCGAACGGGUGAGUAAUACAUCGGAACGUGCCCAGACGUGGGGGAUAACGAGGCGAAAGCUUUGCUAAUACCGCAUACGAUCUAAGGAUGAAAGCAGGGGACCGCAAGGCCUGUGCGUUUGGAGCGGCCGAUGGCAGAUUAGGUAGUUGGUGGGAUAAAAGCUUACCAAGCCGACGAUCUGUAGCUGGUCUGAGAGGACGACCAGCCACACUGGGACUGAGACACGGCCCAGACUCCUACGGGAGGCAGCAGUGGGGAAUUUUGGACAAUGGGCGAAAGCCUGAUCCAGCAAUGCCGCGUGCAGGAUGAAGGCCUUCGGGUUGUAAACUGCUUUUGUACGGAACGAAAAGGCUCUGGCUAAUACCUGGGGCACAUGACGGUACCGGAAGAAUAAGCACCGGCUAACUACGUG
This 481-nucleotide ribosomal RNA is filed under the name uncultured bacterium. Its description in RNAcentral is "partial 16S ribosomal RNA". It matches the Rfam family "Bacterial small subunit ribosomal RNA", at positions 30 to 507 of the family's 1533-position model. The record is from RNAcentral.